This 73-nucleotide transfer RNA is filed under the name Frankia nepalensis. It matches the Rfam family "tRNA". From Rfam's summary of the family: Transfer RNA (tRNA) molecules are approximately 80 nucleotides in length. Their secondary structure includes four short double-helical elements and three loops (D, anti-codon, and T loops). The record is from Rfam by way of RNAcentral. Lineage: Bacteria; Bacillati; Actinomycetota; Actinomycetes; Frankiales; Frankiaceae.
GCCUCCGUAGCUCAGUUGGCAGAGCGGCCGCCUCGUAAGCGGCAGGUCGGCGGUUCGAGUCCGCCCGGCGGCU